This 887-nucleotide ribosomal RNA is filed under the name uncultured bacterium. RNAcentral describes it as "bacterial SSU rRNA". It matches the Rfam family "Bacterial small subunit ribosomal RNA", at positions 9 to 944 of the family's 1533-position model. The record is from RNAcentral.
GAGUUUGAUCAUGGCUCAGAACGUACGCUGGCGGCACGCCUAACACAUGCAAGUCGAACGAAGUAGCAAUACUUAGUGGCAGACGGGUGAGUAACAUGUGGGUAUCUGCCCUUUGGCCUGGAAUAACACGAGGAAACUUGUGCUAAUACUGGAUAAGUCUUUACGGAGAAAGCUUUAUGCACCAUUGGAUGAGCCUGCACUUGAUUAGUUUGUUGGUGGGGUAAUGGCCUACCAAGACUGUGAUCAAUAGCUGAUUUGAGAGGAUGAUCAGCCACAUUGGGACUGAGACACGGCCCAAACUCCUACGGGAGGCAGCAGUGGGGAAUCUUGCACAAUGGAGGAAACUCUGAUGCAGCGAUGCCGCGUGAGUGAAGAAGGCCUUUGGGUUGUAAAGCUCUUUCGUCGGGGAAGAAAAUGACUGUACCCGAAUAAGAAGGUCCGGCUAACUUCGUGCCAGCAGCCGCGGUAAUACGAAGGGACCUAGCGUAGUUCGGAAUUACUGGGCUUAAAGAGUUCGUAGGUGGUUGAAAAAGUUAGUGGUGAAAUCCCAGAGCUUAACUCUGGAACUGCCAUUAAAACUUUUCAGCUAGAGUAUGAUAGAGGAAAGCAGAAUUUCUAGUGUAGAGGUGAAAUUCGUAGAUAUUAGAAAGAAUACCAAUUGCGAAGGCAGCUUUCUGGAUCAUUACUGACACUGAGGAACGAAAGCAUGGGUAGCGAAGAGGAUUAGAUACCCUCGUAGUCCAUGCCGUAAACGAUGUGUGUUAGACGUUGGAAAUUUAUUUUCAGUGUCGCAGCGAAAGCGAUAAACACACCGCCUGGGGAGUACGACCGCAAGGUUAAAACUCAAAUGAAUUGACGGGGACCCGCACAAGUAGUGGAGCAUGUGG